Eucalyptus grandis is the source of this 1026-nucleotide long non-coding RNA. RefSeq lists it as uncharacterized. The record is from RefSeq and is a predicted model, not a curated record. The transcript is spliced from 2 exons. NCBI's taxonomy places the organism in Eukaryota, Viridiplantae, Streptophyta, Magnoliopsida, Myrtales, Myrtaceae.
AGUAAGAUCCUUCAUCCUAUGCAGAAAAAUAGAGAUUCUCGACAUUUGAUUGAUUUUGGAGUGCUAGAAGUACUGAAAAACUGACGUGUACAGGUUUUUGAUAGCAUGCCAAAGGUCAUUGUAUAGGUCAAAGGAAAUGCUAAAUGAAGGACCCUAUAUGGCGAUCCUUCUGAUGUGAGGUUUUAGUUUGCUCUACGCUCAUCAUGCAAUUCAUGACUGCAUAUUUCUAAGGAUUCGAUUAUCAUUCCACUGGUUGAUGUUAAUGCUGAAAUAUCCAAGAGAGCUUUCACAAGGCUAUUCUAAAAGGAAUCGAAAUCAUAGAAGGAUCGGGAGUUCAACAUUUCUUGAACUUCUCCAAACACUGAGAAUGCAUCCUUGGAUUGAUAAAAGGUUGUUUGCAUGUUGUCAGGCCACAUUUCCUCUGGGCUCUUUGAGCUCUAUCCUUCACAAGCCCUCUUGCAGUUCGCAUCCUUGCGAUUUGUUCCAGCACUAGUGCUGUGUUUUAGGCUACCCAUAGAGCUUUAGUUAUGGAAACUAACAAAGGACCACAGUGCAUCAUGCUUGCGUUUCAACUUCAGUUCAAAAAACCACUGGCUCUCAAGUUCGGCUCCCAGCGUUCUUUCGCGACCUAAUGGGCGGUCAACUCAAUAGUUCCGACUCGGUUUUGUGAAGUUUGCUCGAUUUUUAUUGGCAGGUGAAGAUAGUGGAGUGGAAAUUGGAGAAGCGUUUGCUGGCGAUGGUCACAAAGGACUUAAAGUUGGUGCUUUGUCACUUCUAUUGGCAGAGGUUGAGGACAGUCUCCUUGUCUUCAAAGCGAGAAAGUUGGUUAGCUUAAUAUUCCUUGGAUACUGCAUAGUAUGGACAGCUUAGUAUUUCCUUAAUGUACUCUAGCAACUAUUUUGGUAGGCCUUCACUAGGUUGUGCUAUUCAUUUGUGUACCAAAGAAUUCUAAUACUAUGGUGUGAUGGAACUUGGUCAUGCUUUAAAUGUCAGAAUGAUAUGCUGUCAAGCCUAGUAUUGUUUUCA